CCUAGUAACGGCGAGUGAAGCGGGAUGAGCUCAAGCUUAAAAUCUCUGUACCAGUUUGGUGCGGCGAAUUGUAGUCUAUGGAGGCGAUGUCAGUGCGACUGCGCGGGUUAAGUUCCUUGGAAGAGGACAGCAUCGAGGGUGAUACUCCCGUAUGUACCUGUGUAGUUGCGCGUACGACACGUUUUCUUUGAGUCGCGUUGUUUGGGAAUGCAGCGCAAAGUAGGUGGUAAAUUCCAUCUAAAGCUAAAUAUUGGUGCGAGACCGAUAGCGAACAAGUACCGUGAGGGAAAGAUGAAAAGAACUUUGAAAAGAGAGUUAAAGAGUACCUGAAACUGCUGAAAGGGAACCGAAUCGUUUCCAGUGUCUAUAAUCUAUGGCAUAUUUCAUCGGCGUGUGAAUGCGUGCAGUGUUUUGGAAGUGGUUUUCCUCUCCUAAUAUUGUUGUGCGUUUGCCUGCUGGUGCCCUGUGCUGUGGUGGGACGUCAGAGUCAGUUCGUAUGCUGCGGGAAAUGGCAGUUGGGGAGGUAGGUCGCUUCGGUGGCUGUUAUAUCCUGGCUGUUAGUCGUCGUGGUUGGGACUGAGGUGCCUACAACGUGCUUUUGAGUCUGCGGGACUCUCGUUUAGUGAUCUGCUUGGAUAGCUUGCUAUGUUUGCGGAUUUAUUGGGCGAUUGAGAUCUGUAGUAACUUAUUGCCGUUCGGGACUUUGAACGAA
RNAcentral lists this ribosomal RNA (712 nucleotides) under Lagenidium sp. PWL-2010h. RNAcentral's name for it is "eukaryotic LSU rRNA". It matches the Rfam family "Eukaryotic large subunit ribosomal RNA", at positions 79 to 633 of the family's 3401-position model. Lineage: Eukaryota; Oomycota; Peronosporomycetes; Pythiales; Pythiaceae. The record is from RNAcentral.